RNAcentral lists this ribosomal RNA (983 nucleotides) under uncultured bacterium. RNAcentral's name for it is "bacterial SSU rRNA". It matches the Rfam family "Bacterial small subunit ribosomal RNA", at positions 63 to 1040 of the family's 1533-position model. The record is from RNAcentral.
GGCACGGCAGCGCGGGCUUCGGNCUGGCGGCGAGUGGCGAACGGGUGAUUAAUACAUCGGAACAUGUCCAGUAGUGGGGGAUAGCCCGGCGAAAGCCGGAUUAAUACCGCAUACGAUCUAUGGAUGAAAGCGGGGGACCUUCGGGCCUCGCGCUAUUGGGGUGGCCGAUGGCGGAUUAGCUAGUUGGUGGGGUAAAGGCCUACCAAGGCGACGAUCCGUAGCUGGUCUGAGAGGACGACCAGCCACACUGGGACUGAGACACGGCCCAGACUCCUACGGGAGGCAGCAGUGGGGAAUUUUGGACAAUGGGCGAAAGCCUGAUCCAGCAAUGCCGCGUGUGUGAAGAAGGCCUUCGGGUUGUAAAGCACUUUUGUCCGGAAAGAAAUCCUUUUCGAUAAUACCGAAGGGGGAUGACGGUACCGGAAGAAUAAGCACCGGCUAACUACGUGCCAGCAGCCGCGGUAAUACGUAGGGUGCGAGCGUUAAUCGGAAUUACUGGGCGUAAAGCGUGCGCAGGCGGUGAUGUAAGACCGAUGUGAAAUCCCCGGGCUCAACCUGGGAACUGCAUUGGUGACUGCAUCGCUUGAGUAUGGCAGAGGGGGGUAGAAUUCCACGUGUAGCAGUGAAAUGCGUAGAGAUGUGGAGGAAUACCGAUGGCGAAGGCAGCCCCCUGGGUCAAUACUGACGCUCAUGCACGAAAGCGUGGGGAGCAAACAGGAUUAGAUACCCUGGUAGUCCACGCCCUAAACGAUGUCAACUGGUUGUCGGGUCUUCAUUGACUUGGUAACGUAGCUAACGCGUGAAGUUGACCGCCUGGGGAGUACGGUCGCAAGAUUAAAACUCAAAGGAAUUGACGGGGACCCGCACAAGCGGUGGAUGAUGUGGAUUAAUUCGAUGCAACGCGAAAAACCUUACCUACCCUUGACAUGUACGGAAUUCCGCUGAGAGGUGGAAGUGCCCGAAAGGGAGCCGUAACACAGGUG